UAUCAGGUAGUAGUGGGUGUAGCGUACCUACUAGCCUACGACGGGUACGGGUUGUGAGAGCAAGAGCCCGGAGAUGGAUUCUGAGACACGAAUCCAGGCCCUACGGGGUGCAGCAGGCGCGAAAACUUUACAAUGCCGGCAACGGCGAUAAGGGGACCUCGAGUGCCAGGUUACAAAUCUGGCUGUCGUGAUGCCUAAAAAGCAUUGCAUAGCAAGGGCCGGGCAAGACCGGUGCCAGCCGCCGCGGUAACACCGGCGGCUCGAGUGGUAACCGUUAUUAUUGGGUCUAAAGGGUCUGUAGCCGGCCGGAUAAGUCUCUUGAGAAAUCCAGCAGCUCAACUGUUGGGCUUUCAGGAGAUACUGUUCGGCUCGAGGCCGGGAGAGGUGAGAGGUACUUCAGGGGUAGGGGUGAAAUCUUGUAAUCCUUGAAGGACCACCAGUGGCGAAGGCGUCUCACCAGAACGGACCUGACGGCAAGGGACGAAAGCUAGGGGCACGAACCGGAUUAGAUACCCGGGUAGUCCUAGCCGUAAACGAUACUCGCUAGGUGUCGGCCACGGUGCGACCGUUGUCGGUGCCGUAGGGAAGCCGUGAAGCGAGC
Molecule: ribosomal RNA, 601 nt
Filed under: uncultured archaeon
Lineage: Archaea
Description: bacterial SSU rRNA
Rfam family: Archaeal small subunit ribosomal RNA
Source: RNAcentral